RNAcentral lists this ribosomal RNA (253 nucleotides) under uncultured bacterium. RNAcentral describes it as "partial 16S ribosomal RNA". It matches the Rfam family "Bacterial small subunit ribosomal RNA", at positions 524 to 776 of the family's 1533-position model. The record is from RNAcentral.
UACGAAGGUGGCAAGCGUUGUUCGGAUUUACUGGGCGUACAGGGAGCGUAGGCGGUUGGAUAAGCCCUCCGUGAAAUCUCCAGGCUUAACCUGGAAAGUGCAGAGGGGACUGUUCAGCUAGAGGAUGGGAGAGGAGCGCGGAAUUCCCGGUGUAGCGGUGAAAUGCGUAGAGAUCGGGAGGAAGGCCGGUGGCGAAGGCGGCGCUCUGGAACAUUUCUGACGCUGAGGCUCGAAAGCGUGGGGAGCGAACAGG